UAAUAGCUCACUGGUCGAGUCGGCCUGCGCGGAAGAUGUAACGGGGCUAAACCAUGCACCGAAGCUGCGGCAGCGACACUGUGUGUUGUUGGGUAGGGGAGCGUUCUGUAAGCCGUUGAAGGUGUGUCGUGAGGCAUGCUGGAGGUAUCAGAAGUGCGAAUGCUGACAUAAGUAACGAUAAAGCGGGUGAAAAGCCCGCUCGCCGGAAGACCAAGGGUUCCUGUCCAACGUUAAUCGGGGCAGGGUGAGUCGACCCCUAAGGCGAGGCCGAAAGGCGUAGUCGAUGGGAAACGGGUUAAUAUUCCCGUACUUGGUGUUACUGCGAAGGGGGGACGGAGAAGGCUAUGUUGGCCGGGCGACGGUAGUCCCGGUUUAAGCGUGUAGGUGUGUGUUCCAGGUAAAUCCGGUUCACUUUAACACUGAGGCGUGAUGACGAGGCACCACGGUGCUGAAGCAACAAAUGCCCUGCUUCCAGGAAAAGCCUCUAAGCAUCAGGUAACAUCAAAUCGUACCCCAAACCGACACAGGUGGUCAGGUAGAGAAUACCAAGGCGCUUGAGAGAACUCGGGUGAAGGAACUAGGCAAAAUGGUGCCGUAACUUCGGGAGAAGGCACGCUGACAC
This 622-nucleotide ribosomal RNA is filed under the name Salmonella enterica. RNAcentral's name for it is "partial 23S ribosomal RNA". It matches the Rfam family "Bacterial large subunit ribosomal RNA", at positions 1135 to 1757 of the family's 2925-position model. The record is from RNAcentral. Lineage: Bacteria; Pseudomonadati; Pseudomonadota; Gammaproteobacteria; Enterobacterales; Enterobacteriaceae.